GGGGCUGUAGUUCAGUGGUAGAGCACUUGCCUUGCAUGUGUGAGGCAAUGGGUUCGAUCCUCAGCACCA
This 69-nucleotide transfer RNA is filed under the name Marmota monax (woodchuck). It matches the Rfam family "tRNA". From Rfam's summary of the family: Transfer RNA (tRNA) molecules are approximately 80 nucleotides in length. The record is from Rfam by way of RNAcentral. Lineage: Eukaryota; Metazoa; Chordata; Mammalia; Rodentia; Sciuridae. RNAcentral also lists the same sequence under 2 other names.